This 1115-nucleotide long non-coding RNA is filed under the name Rattus norvegicus (Norway rat). RNAcentral's name for it is "long non-coding RNA NONRATT031185". Lineage: Eukaryota; Metazoa; Chordata; Mammalia; Rodentia; Muridae. The record is from RNAcentral.
GGAAUGUGUAUUGUGGUCUCAAGACUUGCCCCAAACUGACCUGUGCAUUCCCAGUCUCUGUUCCAGAUUCCUGCUGCCGAGUAUGCAGAGGGGAUGGAGAAUUAUCAUGGGAACAUUCUGAUGCUGAUAUCUUCCGGCAACCUGCCAACAGAGAAGCAAGACAUUCUUACCUCCGUUCCCCCUACGAUCCUCCACCAAGCAGACAAGCUGGAGGUCUUCCCCGCUUUGCUGGGAGCAGAAGUCACCGGGGAGCUGUCAUUGAUUCUCAGCAAGCAUCAGGGACCAUCGUGCAGAUCGUCAUCAAUAACAAGCACAAACAUGGACAAGUGUGUGUUUCCAAUGGAAAGACCUAUUCUCACGGAGAAUCCUGGCAUCCAAAUCUACGAGCUUUUGGCAUUGUGGAAUGUGUUCUAUGCACUUGUAAUGUCACCAAGCAAGAAUGUAAGAAAAUCCACUGCCCCAAUCGAUACCCCUGCAAGUAUCCUCAAAAAUUAGAUGGAAAGUGCUGCAAGGUGUGCCCAGGUAAAAAGGCAAAAGGUGCAUUGGCUGGAGGCCCUGCCUUUGGUUGAAUGAGAUUCAGACGUAGUCCUAUUCAGUCUUCUUUGUGCAUCAAAGCUAUAAAUGACCUGUCAUAUAGUUCUAACGAUAAUAGUUCUAGCAAGAAUGAACUUCAUCCUUUCCUCUUCUGAGACACUGAUGGUUGCUUUGAAGGAAUUAACUACUCAGAGUUUCUUUUGUCUACAACCUCAAACACAUGCCAAAUUGCUUAACUCGUUCUGGCUUUUCUAAAUUAGAGCAUUUACUGUUGCAGACCAUUAUCACUGUUUUAGGGAAAGUCACAUCGUUCACGUUUUAAAUCACUGACUAACUCACUUCAAGACAUAAUCCAGUUCUCUUUUACAGAUGAGAUAUGCAUGAGUUACAGUGGAGAGAAAUUAGGUUCUGAUCCAAAUCUAAGGUUAUUAUAUGACCUUGAAAAUACAUCAAAUCAAUAUGUAUCAAACCCCAUGUGAAAAAUUAAAAAGUUUGUUACUGUGCUCCAUAACUAUAUUUUAAUUUGCAAUUUCUUUUUAAAAUUUUUGAGACAUGGUAUCUGUAUAUAUUUAUGGGGGUAC